RNAcentral lists this small RNA (284 nucleotides) under Pongo abelii (Sumatran orangutan). RNAcentral describes it as "processed transcript". The record is from RNAcentral. Lineage: Eukaryota; Metazoa; Chordata; Mammalia; Primates; Hominidae.
AAGAGAGCGGCGGCCGCUCACAACAUGCACAGCCUGGCGACGGCUGCGAAAUAGAAGACCAACUUAAACUGUCAGUACACUGUGUGACACUUGGAGUUAACCAUUGGUAACUUUGACAGGAUCUCGCUUUGUUACCCGGGCUGGAGUGCAGUGGCGUGAUCUUGGCUCACUGCAACCUCCACCUUCUGGGUUCAGUCGAUUCUCCCACCUCAGCCUCCCGAGUAGCUGGGAUUACAGGCACGCGCCACCACACCAGGCUAAUUUUUGUAUUUUUAGUAGGGGCA